CCCCUUAACUAAAUUCUAUUUUUAUUUCACCCCCUCUCCUUAACUUUAUUUCUUUCAAUUUAUGACCCAUUUAACUUUUCAAAAAUUCCAAAUCUGAAUAAUAAUUUUAGUUAUUCUCCAGUAAAUAAGAUACAUAAUAAUAAGCGACUAUUAUUAUUGGAGACAGUACGAAUAAAAAGAAUGAUAAACUUUAAAUACUGUUUCUUUAGUUUCACACUUUCUCACUUUAGUACCCUGUAGUUUUAAUUUUCUCUUUUCAUCAGCUCCUCCGUUAAUAUAUCGUUAAAUUAUAUACAAAAAACUCCAGAUAUCCCACUUAAGUUUAUCGAAUAUUUAUUUUAAUAUCUUUCGGUUUUAACUUUGUCAUUGAUUUAACAAAAAUAAUUAGUGGGAGAAUAAUAAAAAAAAUAAAAUAAAAUUACGAGAUACUAAAUUGAUACAUUUUAAACCACGGAGUACUAAAAUGAAAAAAAAAAGUGCGAAAUAUUUAAAA
This 493-nucleotide long non-coding RNA is filed under the name Ananas comosus (pineapple). Its description in RNAcentral is "long non-coding RNA (ACOM_LNC023688)". The record is from RNAcentral. Lineage: Eukaryota; Viridiplantae; Streptophyta; Magnoliopsida; Poales; Bromeliaceae.